RNAcentral lists this small RNA (132 nucleotides) under Salmonella enterica subsp. enterica serovar Oranienburg. RNAcentral's name for it is "RtT sRNA". It matches the Rfam family "RtT RNA". Rfam says of the family: This family represents a bacterial cis-regulatory element known as RtT RNA. The exact function of RtT is unknown although it is thought that it may be involved in changing the cellular response in relation to amino acid starvation. The record is from RNAcentral. Lineage: Bacteria; Pseudomonadati; Pseudomonadota; Gammaproteobacteria; Enterobacterales; Enterobacteriaceae. RNAcentral also lists the same sequence under 31 other names.
AUAUCUCUCCGUACGGGAAGGAUGAGAAGCUUCGACUAAGGUUCGAUUCGAGCGAAAGCGAGAAAGCGUUGCCAACGGCAACGACCCGAAGGGCGAAGCGCGCAGCGCUGAGUCAUCCUUCCCCCACCACCA